UCAGGAUGAACGCUGGCGGCGUGCCUAAUACAUAGCAAGUGAAACGGGUAUCUUCGGAUACCAGUCGCGGACGGGUGAGUAAUACAUAGGCAACCUGCCUUUAUGAGGGGGAUAACCGAGGGAAACUUUGGCUAAUACCGCAUGAAGACUCUAAGGCAUCUUAGAGGGAUAAAAAGUUGGGAAACAACGCAUGAAGAUGGGCUUAUGGCGCAUUAGCUAGUUGGUGAGAUAGAAGCCCACCAAGGUAAUGAUGCGUAGCCGACCUGAGAGGGUGAACGGCCACAUUGGGACUGAGACACGGCCCAAACUCCUACGGGAGGCAGCAGUAGGGAAUUUUCGGCAAUGGGGGGAACCCGUCGACCGAGCAACGCCGCGUGAAGGAAGAAGGUUUUCGGAUUGUAAACUUCUGUUAUAAGGGAAGAACGGAUUGGAUAGGGAAUGAUCUGAUAGUGACGGUACCUUAUUAGAAAGCCACGGCUAACUACGUGCCAGCCGCCGC
Molecule: ribosomal RNA, 499 nt
Filed under: uncultured bacterium
Lineage: Bacteria
Description: bacterial SSU rRNA
Rfam family: Bacterial small subunit ribosomal RNA
Source: RNAcentral